This 543-nucleotide long non-coding RNA is filed under the name Rattus norvegicus (Norway rat). RNAcentral's name for it is "long non-coding RNA NONRATT002432". The record is from RNAcentral. Lineage: Eukaryota; Metazoa; Chordata; Mammalia; Rodentia; Muridae.
UUCCAGAUGUGAGCCCCAGGCCAGAUGUGAGGACCCCCACCCACAGUCUGAGCCUAUCCCAUAUCUUUAUGCGUCCUGUCCUCUCCCACCAGGUGUAGAGAGUCUUGGUGUGAUAUGGUGUCUUCAGGUGUAAGCCCCUCAGUCUCCUCUCCAGAAUUCAGUUCCUCUAAUUCCUUUAUGUGCCCCGUGCACUGACCCUUCUCAUCACCCACAGAUGUGCCAUCUCGCUGCCCACAUGGGCCAUUCUUGUCCUUUAUCUAAAUGAAGCUUCUUUUCCCCGUGUGCCUCGUCAGAGGAUCAGCCUUUAGCUGGCUCCCCAAAUACGGCCCCCAUUACGCUAAUAGAUUUCCUCUCAAUGGAUUCAACUCUCUCUGGGGGCAAACCCGCCCGCCCCCACCUGUUCCUUUCCCUGCUACUCCCCUAAAGGCCCCAUCCACUUGUUGGAACACGGGUGGGAGCAGAGGGGGCGCCCUCCCCUUCCCCCUGCGAGUCUAGCGCCCAGCCUUCGCGCCUCUGGCUAAGCGCCCAGCCCCACGCGCCCCC